UACGAAGGGGGCGAGCGUUGUUCGGAUUUACUGGGCGUAAAGGGCGCGCAGGCGGCUCAUUUUGUCAGGCGUGAAAGCCCCGGGCUUAACCUGGGAACUGCGCUUGAGACGGGUGGGCUAGAGAUCGGGAGAGGAGAGUGGAAUUCCCAGUGUAGAGGUGAAAUUCGUAGAUAUCGGUAGGAACACCAGUGGCGAAGGCGGUCUCCUGGGGCAUUCUUGACGCUGAGGCGCGAAAGCUGGGGGAGCAAACGGG
RNAcentral lists this ribosomal RNA (253 nucleotides) under uncultured bacterium. RNAcentral describes it as "partial 16S ribosomal RNA". It matches the Rfam family "Bacterial small subunit ribosomal RNA", at positions 524 to 776 of the family's 1533-position model. The record is from RNAcentral.